This 256-nucleotide ribosomal RNA is filed under the name uncultured bacterium. Its description in RNAcentral is "partial 16S ribosomal RNA". It matches the Rfam family "Bacterial small subunit ribosomal RNA", at positions 524 to 776 of the family's 1533-position model. The record is from RNAcentral.
UACGAAGGGUGCAAACGUUUGCUCGGGAAUUAUUGGGCGUAAAGCGCACGUAGGCGGCUUAGCAAGUCGGAAGUGAAAUCCACGGCUCAACCUUGGAAUUGCCUUUGAUACUGGCUGUCUUGAGUUCGGAGAGGUGAGUGGAAUGCCGAGUGUAGAGGUGAAAUUCGUAGAUAUUCGGCGGAACACCAGUGGCGAAGGCGACUCACUGGCCCGAUACUGAACGCUGAGGCGGCGAAAAGCGUGGGGAGCAAACAGG